Anguilla rostrata (American eel) is the source of this 1344-nucleotide long non-coding RNA. RefSeq lists it as uncharacterized. The transcript is spliced from 2 exons. Lineage: Eukaryota; Metazoa; Chordata; Actinopteri; Anguilliformes; Anguillidae. The record is from RefSeq and is a predicted model, not a curated record.
CGGAAGAGAAGCCAAUUGUGGCGCUCCAACAGCCGAAACCAAUCAUAAGGUUCGAAGGGCGACCUAACCCUGAACGGACAUUUGGUUUUACCAAUUAGAAUGGACCUCCAGCAUGGUACAACCAAUCGCGGCAUCGCCAAAUAAGAGUUCAUUUCCAAGGCCUCAGCGUACAGCCUGCAAGUCUAGUACAUCUUUCAGCCGGGUAACAGCGCUUCGUAACCAGCUGCCGCAGUGAAGGCACCAUCAGUCGAUGGGCGUGUUUCCUCGGCGCGUUUCGAAUGAAAAAAUUACUGAGAAAAAUGCUUAUUUAGUUGAAAUUACCUCGAACUACCGAUUGGCUGUGGAAAAAACAAUUACACUCAACAUUGAUAACUGUUUAUUGUUUUUAAAUCAUAACGAAGAUGCCGUGCAAGAGAAGCAGCCGUCCAGAGGGAUCUCCGCAGAUGUCUCCAGACCUCCAAGGACAUCUUGGAUGUGCGCUGCAGCUGUACACAGAUGAAAAAACGCGCACGUCUGGUUGUACAAUCACAUCUGACUGGAUUAAAUACGUGAGGCCCGGAGUGACUGAUUGCUGAGCCGAUGGGAGUUCACCAGGGCCACUGCUAUUCUCAUCAGCUUUACAGGAACGGGCGGGGAGACAGCAAAAUCACUGUACAACAUGCAUCUUCCUUAAGAUAGUGUCCCAAAGCCAAAGAAUAAAAAAAUAAAGAAGUAUAAAAGGGCAAUGAAACUUUGCCUGUAUUUCACUAUGAAUUAUUUAAAGGAGCUAACUUGUUCUACUAAACCCUGGGACAUGUAGCGUGCAGUACAUGUUUCUGUUUCAUUAUACAAGCUUCAUUAUCACCAUUUAUCAACAAUUUACUACGUAGGCAGGCUAAUACUUGAAAGCAUUCAAUGCCCAGCCAUCUCAGCCUAGUGGUCUUUCUUAAGUAUUACGCCUGUGCAUUCAAAGAUGACAGUCUUCUGGAAUCUUCUCCCUUAUUUUCCAACUUAAUAUAAACUGCAAGGGCAUUUAAGAUAAACCACCUGUAACCUGAUGUUUUGGCAUUCUAUGGAUGGGAAAUGUACGUGCACUAGACCAUAGCUUUGCUGAGUUAUAAUAAUUACAAUAUGGAUGUUUACCUGAAGGAAUUUUAGUUAAUAAGCAUUUUCACUAAAUUGUGCACUUGUGGUGAAUUGCAAUUCACUUGAAUGUUGGCCUACUUCUCAAGUCAACUUUUGAAAGAAAGAGAGAUGUUGGCUUUUACUGUUAUUAAGAAAUCGAACCCUUCCGUGAUUACAUUUACCCUGUGUGGGAUCAGAAGUCCUUCUGCACGAAUAAAUGUAUUUUUCUUUUUUAUUUAA